CACAAAAACUUCACAGAUCAUAUCUAUGAUGCUCUAAAUCGAAGUGGAAUUAUCACUUUCAGGGAUGAUCCAAAGAUGGAUGUCUGUGAAGAGAUCGCACCACAACUCUUCCGAGCCAUUCAACAAUCGUGGUGCUCGGUAAUUGUUUUUUUAGGAACCUAUGCCUUUUCAAGUUGGUGCUUGGAGGAGCUUGCUGAGAUAGUUAAACAAAAAAAACGAGACAGGACAUAAAGUGUUUCCAAUUUUCUACGUUGUGAAUCCAUCUGAUUUAAGAAAACAGAAAGAAAAAGUUGAAGAAGCGUUUGCCAAACAUGUAGAGAGAUACAAGGAAGAUAAAGAAAAGAUUCUAAGGUGGCGAAAUGCUUUGACUCAAGUGGCUAACGUCAAAGGAUGGCAUUUAAAUAACAGGCAUGAAUCAGAGUUUAUUGGAGAUAUUGUUAGAAAAAUAUCAGCAAAAUUAUGUCAGACAUAUCCAAUUGUUCAUGAUGAGUUGGUUGGAAUUAGUUCACGCUUGGAGGAGUUGCAUUCAAAAAUAGAGAUUGGGGAAGAUGACAUCCGCAUCAUAGGAAUUUGCGGAAUGGGUGGCAUCGCUAAAACAACUCUCACAAGAGUUGUUUACGCCCAAAUGUCAUCUCAUUUUGAAGGUAAAUGCUUCAUUGCUGACGUUCGAGAAGUUUCAGACAAAUUUGGACUCGUUUCUCUACGGAAACAACUUCUUUUCCAGAUCUUGUCUGGUGAAGUCUUCGAAUUUUUCAAUGUUCAUGAAGGGAAUGCCAUAAUUAGCCACAUAUUAUCUAACAAAAAGGUCCUUGUGAUUGAUGAUGUGGAUAAUUUACAGCACUUGAAAUGCUUGGUUGGAAGGCAUGAUUGGUUCUGUUUAGGGAGUAUAAUCAUUAUAACAACAAGAGAUGAACACUUGCUCUAAUCUUACCGAGUUGAUGAUGUGUAUAAGCCUUCAACAUUGAAUGACAGUGAGGCACUUCAACUUUUCAGUAUGAAAGCUUUUGAUAGUGAGACAGCACCAAAUGAUGUUUUCAUUGAGCUUUCUGAACAUGUUGCAAAAUAUGCCAGUGGUCUCCCCUUAGCUCUUGAAGUCUUGGGUUCUUUUUUGUGCGGUAGAGAUGUAGCUCAAUGGAGAAGUGCAAUCCAAAGACUUGAAAAGGAUUCUAACGAAGAGAUUAUGGACAGACUUCGAAUUAGCUUUGAUGGAUUGGAAGAAGCAGAGAAGAACAUAUUUCUAGAUAUAACAUGGUUCUUCAAUGGGGACGAGAAAGAUUUUGUAAUGAAAGUAUUGGAUGGCUGUGAGUUUUUCCCGGAUAUUGGAAUCGAUGUUCUCAUUAAGAAGUCUCUACUAACAGUUGACGAAAACAACAAAUUGUGGAUGCAUAACUUACUACAAGAAAUGGGAAGAAGAAUUGUUCGGGAAAAAUCUAUUGAGGAGCCUGGAAAACGUUGUAGAUUGUGGGAGGAAAAUGAUGUAUAUCACGUGCUAACGAAGAACACUGCUACGGAAGUGAUUGAAGGCAUGAUCAUUGACAAUAAAAGGAUAUCCAACAAGAUGCUCAAUUUGAAUGUUAAUGUUUUCUCGAAGAUGAAAAAAUUGAGAUUGCUCAAAGUCCUUUGCCUCUCAAAUUGUGAUGAACUCAAAUAUUUUCCUAAUGAGUUACGGCUCUUAGAUUGGUUGGGAUACCCUUUAAGAUUCUUACCUCCAAGCUUCCAACCAGACAACCUUGUUGCACUUCUGCUACCAUACAGUCGCAUUGAACAACUAUGGAGGGGAAAUACGCAGCCCCUGUAUAAGUUGAAAGUGCUCAACCUAAAGGGUCCGACAACCUGAUCAAGACACCGGACUUUACAACAGCCCCAAAUCUGGAAAUUUUGAUAUUGGAAGGUUGUACAAGAAUAGUAGAUGUUCAUCCAUCAGUCGGAGUUCUUUCAAGGCUUAAACUUCUGAAUUUAAGAAGCUGCACAAGUCUUAGGAAUCUUCCAACCAAAAUUGGAAUAGAAUCUCUUGAAACAUUAAUCCUAAAAGAUUGUAGAAACCUUAUUAGUCUCCCAAGCAGCAUUGGUGGGUGUAAAUGUCUAAAAACUCUUGAUCUUUCAGGUUGCUAUAAAGUUGAAAAUUUGCCGGAGAAUUUGCAGCAAAUAGAGUUGUUGGAAGACCUCGACUUAAGUGAAACUGCCAUAGCAAAACCGCCAUCCUUCAUUUUUCAACUUAAAAAUCUUAAAGUUUUGUUUUUGAAUAGGCUCAAGAUAUCAUCAUCUAAGUUAGCACCAAAUCUACCUUCUCUUUUCCAGGUACUGUCAGGUUUGAUUUCAUUAAGAGAGCUGAAACUAAGGAACUGCAAUCGUCGUGAAGGAGAUAUUCCAAGUGAUAUUCAUUGUUUACCCUAUUUGGAAAAGCUUGAGCUAGGUGGUAACAAUUUCAUCAGCGUACCUGUGUCUGUUAUUAGAUUUCCCAGUCUUCAAUAUCUUGGAUUGUCAAAUUGCAGGGAGCUUAAAUCGUUUCCUAGUCUUGGUGCUUGUCUAGAACUAUUUGCAACUCCAUCAAAGGUUUGCAAUGCAGUGGAUUUGACACGGUUUAAUGGUCUUCACUGCUACAAAAUAGUUGAGAAUAUCAAUGCAUUAACAAUGCUGAAAAUCUUUCUUAAGAUAGUUGUAUGUUUAAGAAAAAGUUUUGAUGUUGUUAUGCCCGGAGGUGAAAUCCCAAAAUGGUUUAACCAUCAAACAGUUUGCUCUUCAAUCAAGAUACCACUGCCUAACAAUAUUCAGAAUGAUAGUCAAUGGAUGGGAGUUGCUUUCUGCUGCAUUUUUGUCAAUGAUGAUGCUUCAAGGGAUGAGGAACUCACAUGUGAUGCUGUUAUCCAUCAUAGGAAUUCUGGACAAGCUGAUUCUGAUGGAUCUGGUUUUCGGGGUAGAAAUCCUCGACGUGUCUCAGGGGACGGCCGGAUUUUUUCUAAAGAAUAUAACCAGCCCAUAAUAAAGGACCACCUUUAUUGUUGUUUUUUGUUCCGUGAAAGAUUAUAUCCAUUUUCCUUUGAGGAUUAAUGUGGUGAUAGUGAAACUGAGAACUCAUCAACAUUGGAUUGCUCAAAUCAGGAAUUUGAUGAACUCCAGUUUUCAGUCACAUCCGAUGAUAGUCACAUAAGUGUUAAGGUGAAGAAAUG
Molecule: RNA transcript, 3167 nt
Organism: Hibiscus syriacus
Lineage: Eukaryota; Viridiplantae; Streptophyta; Magnoliopsida; Malvales; Malvaceae
Gene name: disease resistance protein RPP2A-like
Exons: 6
Source: RefSeq, a predicted model, not a curated record